GACGAACGCUGGCGGCGUGCUUAACACAUGCAAGUCGAACGGAAAGGCCCUGCUUUUGUGGGGUGCUGUAGGGGCGAACGGGUGAGUAACACGUGAGUAACCUGCCCUUGACUUUGGGAUAACUUCAGGAAACUGGGGCUAAUACCGGAUAGGAGCUCCUGCUGCAUGGUGGGGGUUGGAAAGUUUCGGCGGUUGGGGAUGGACUCGCGGCUUAUCAGCUUGUUGGUGGGGUAGUGGCUUACCAAGGCUUUGACGGGUAGCCGGCCUGAGAGGGUGACCGGCCCCAUUGGGACUGAGAUACGGCCCAGACUCGUACGGGAGGCAGCAGUGGGGAAUAUUGCAUAAUGGGAGGAAGCCUGAUGCAGUCACGCAGCGUGGGGGAUGACGUCAAUCGGGUUGUAAACCGCUUCCGCCUGUGACGAAGCGUGAGUGACGGUACUGGGUAAAGAAGCACCGGCUAACUCCGUG
Molecule: ribosomal RNA, 468 nt
Filed under: uncultured bacterium
Lineage: Bacteria
Description: partial 16S ribosomal RNA
Rfam family: Bacterial small subunit ribosomal RNA
Source: RNAcentral